AUUGAACGCUGGCGGCAUGCUUUACACAUGCAAGUCGAACGGCAGCACGGGCUUCGGCCUGGUGGCGAGUGGCGAACGGGUGAGUAAUGCAUCGGAACGUGCCCAUUUGUGGGGGAUAACUACGCGAAAGCGUGGCUAAUACCGCAUACGCCCUGAGGGGGAAAGCGGGGGAUUCUUCGGAACCUCGCGCAAUUGGAGCGGCCGAUGUCAGAUUAGCUUGUUGGUGAGGUAAAGGCUCACCAAGGCGACGAUCUGUAGCGGGUCUGAGAGGAUGAUCCGCCACACUGGAACUGAGACACGGUCCAGACUCCUACGGGAGGCAGCAGUGGGGAAUUUUGGACAAUGGGGGAAACCCUGAUCCAGCCAUGCCGCGUGCAGGAUGAAGGCCUUCGGUUGUAAACUGCUUUUGUACGGUAACGAAAAGGUACCUUUCUAAUUAAAGAAGGGCUCAUGACGGUACCGUAAGAAUAAGCAACCGGCUAACUACGUGCCAGCAGCCGCGGUAAAG
Molecule: ribosomal RNA, 508 nt
Filed under: uncultured bacterium
Lineage: Bacteria
Description: bacterial SSU rRNA
Rfam family: Bacterial small subunit ribosomal RNA
Source: RNAcentral